UCCCUGGUGGCUUAGCAGUAAAGAAUCUGCCUGCCAAGCAGGAGACUCAAGUUCAAUCCCUGGUUCAGGAA
Molecule: transfer RNA, 71 nt
Filed under: Bos taurus (domestic cattle)
Lineage: Eukaryota; Metazoa; Chordata; Mammalia; Artiodactyla; Bovidae
Also listed under: 5 other names
Rfam family: tRNA
About the family: Transfer RNA (tRNA) molecules are approximately 80 nucleotides in length. Their secondary structure includes four short double-helical elements and three loops (D, anti-codon, and T loops). Further hydrogen bonds mediate the characteristic L-shaped molecular structure. tRNAs have two regions of fundamental functional importance: the anti-codon, which is responsible for specific mRNA codon recognition, and the 3' end, to which the tRNAs corresponding amino acid is attached (by aminoacyl-tRNA synthetases). tRNAs cope with the degeneracy of the genetic code in two manners: having more than one tRNA (with a specific anti-codon) for a particular amino acid; and 'wobble' base-pairing, i.e. permitting non-standard base-pairing at the 3rd anti-codon position.
Source: Rfam by way of RNAcentral